CACCACGUAGCUCAACCGGAUGAGCACGACCAUCCGAAGGUCGAGGAUGUAGGUUCGAGUCCUAUCGUGGUGGCCA
This 76-nucleotide transfer RNA is filed under the name Bradyrhizobium sp. OAE829. Its description in RNAcentral is "tRNA-Arg". It matches the Rfam family "tRNA". From Rfam's summary of the family: Transfer RNA (tRNA) molecules are approximately 80 nucleotides in length. Their secondary structure includes four short double-helical elements and three loops (D, anti-codon, and T loops). Lineage: Bacteria; Pseudomonadati; Pseudomonadota; Alphaproteobacteria; Hyphomicrobiales; Nitrobacteraceae. The record is from RNAcentral.